RNAcentral lists this ribosomal RNA (264 nucleotides) under uncultured bacterium. Its description in RNAcentral is "partial 16S ribosomal RNA". It matches the Rfam family "Bacterial small subunit ribosomal RNA", at positions 29 to 280 of the family's 1533-position model. The record is from RNAcentral.
AACGAACGCUGGCGGCGUGCCUAACACAUGCAAGUCGAGCGCGAAAAGGGCAACCUGAGUAGAGCGGCGCACGGGUGCGUAACACGUGGGUAAUCUGCCUACAAAGUUUGGGAUAACCUUCCGAAAGGUUGGCUAAUACCGGAUAAGCUCGCGGGAUCUUCGGAUUCUGCGGGAAAAGGUGGCCUCUGUUUACAAGCCAUCACUUUGAGAUGAGCCCGCGGCCCAUCAGCAGUUGGCGGGGUAACGGCCCACCAAGGCUACGAC